This 1361-nucleotide ribosomal RNA is filed under the name uncultured bacterium. Its description in RNAcentral is "bacterial SSU rRNA". It matches the Rfam family "Bacterial small subunit ribosomal RNA", at positions 28 to 1381 of the family's 1533-position model. The record is from RNAcentral.
AUUGAACGCUGGCGGCAGGCCUAACACAUGCAAGUCGAGCGGUAGCACAGAGAGCUUGCUCUCGGGUGACGAGCGGCGGACGGGUGAGUAAUGUCUGGGAAACUGCCUGAUGGAGGGGGAUAACUACUGGAAACGGUAGCUAAUACCGCAUAACGUCGCAAGACCAAAGUGGGGGACCUUCGGGCCUCAUGCCAUCAGAUGUGCCCAGAUGGGAUUAGCUAGUAGGUGGGGUAAUGGCUCACCUAGGCGACGAUCCCUAGCUGGUCUGAGAGGAGGACCAGCCACACUGGAACUGAGACACGGUCCAGACUCCUACGGGAGGCAGCAGUGGGGAAUAUUGCACAAUGGGCGCAAGCCUGAUGCAGCCAUGCCGCGUGUGUGAAGAAGGCCUUCGGGUUGUAAAGCACUUUCAGCGGGGAGGAAGGCGGUGAGGUUAAUAACCUCAUCGAUUGACGUUACCCGCAGAAGAAGCACCGGCUAACUCCGUGCCAGCAGCCGCGGUAAUACGGAGGGUGCAAGCGUUAAUCGGAAUUACUGGGCGUAAAGCGCACGCAGGCGGUCUGUCAAGUCGGAUGUGAAAUCCCCGGGCUCAACCUGGGAACUGCAUUCGAAACUGGCAGGCUAGAGUCUUGUAGAGGGGGGUAGAAUUCCAGGUGUAGCGGUGAAAUGCGUAGAGAUCUGGAGGAAUACCGGUGGCGAAGGCGGCCCCCUGGACAAAGACUGACGCUCAGGUGCGAAAGCGUGGGGAGCAAACAGGAUUAGAUACCCUGGUAGUCCACGCCGUAAACGAUGUCGAUUUGGAGGUUGUGCCCUUGAGGCGUGGCUUCCGGAGCUAACGCGUUAAAUCGACCGCCUGGGGAGUACGGCCGCAAGGUUAAAACUCAAAUGAAUUGACGGGGGCCCGCACAAGCGGUGGAGCAUGUGGUUUAAUUCGAUGCAACGCGAAGAACCUUACCUGGUCUUGACAUCCACAGAACUUUCCAGAGAUGGAUUGGUGCCUUCGGGAACUGUGAGACAGGUGCUGCAUGGCUGUCGUCAGCUCGUGUUGUGAAAUGUUGGGUUAAGUCCCGCAACGAGCGCAACCCUUAUCCUUUGUUGCCAGCGGUCCGGCCGGGAACUCAAAGGAGACUGCCAGUGAUAAACUGGAGGAAGGUGGGGAUGACGUCAAGUCAUCAUGGCCCUUACGACCAGGGCUACACACGUGCUACAAUGGCAUAUACAAAGAGAAGCGACCUCGCGAGAGCAAGCGGACCUCAUAAAGUAUGUCGUAGUCCGGAUUGGAGUCUGCAACUCGACUCCAUGAAGUCGGAAUCGCUAGUAAUCGUAGAUCAGAAUGCUACGGUGAAUACGUUCCCGGGCCU